GAGAGGGCGGGGCGGCGGGGGAUUCUCUGGCUGGCUGGAGCAGCAAAAAUUACCAACUCGCAAAAUAAAACAAAAUAAAAACAAACCAACAAAUACGAAAACACCAGACAUUAUGAUACAAACUUACAAUUUGCACCGAUGUUUUUUCAAAAUUCUAUACGCGAAAAGUGAGCGCGAGAGCCCUCGGUGCGCCUGCUCUCUGCUGAAGUCAAAGUAAACUUUAUUGUCAUCUCCGCUACAUACAGUCCAGUAUAUAGAGAGACGAGACGACGAGGCUCCAGUUACAGCAGUGCAAAUAAACAAACAAUAAAUAUUUAAGAGUAAAAAAAUAAAUAUACACUUUAGGACUCGGGGUAAAGGGAUCAAUAACAAUUUAAAAUGUAUAUUUUAUAUUUUGUUGAUUUAAAGUCUCACACACAACCCGUUUUUAAAGUUUAAAAAAAGAGAAAAGAAGAGGAGGAGUGUAGCGACUUCCACAGUCGCUAGAGGCCGGGGACUGAGCCUGCCUAUUUGCCUAACGCGCUGUCAACUUUACGCAAUAAUGCGAGAGGUGGAAUUGCUUCCUUGUUUAUUAAAGUGCUUGAAAAGUUUACAGAGCAAUGUGAUCGGCUCGCGAUUCAAACUCUUAAAACAUCACAGGCUCUAAUGCAACAAGGGGAAACUCGUUGUGCUGCGGUCAACAAAAACUACGGCUACCCAGCCCUGCUCUGUCAAAAUCAAACCAGUGAAUGACAGACUGACAACGCCCUCUUAAUGUCACCGCUACCACCCACGUGACUCCCGUUACACAUCACCAUAGCAACCAAACAAAUGAAAACCCAGUGAUCAUUAAAAUUCAAUACAUUUAGUUAUGGCUCCUACAAGGAGAAACGAGCAAAAGACACAGGCCUUGUAGGAGAGUCUGAUUGGUCUGCAGUGAAAGACCCAGGAGAAAGCUGAGGAACAAGUCCAGGUGUCCAUUUGAACUCUAGUGAACUCCUGGAGAGCAGAGACCCCCUGCAAGGAUGUAACAACCUCCCCGCCAGUUGAAGAGGCCCCUAGUUCUGCCGAUGCACCAGAGGCCCCCUGCCCCAAGGCUGUGCAUGGACCCACCCACAACCCGGCAAUACACCAACCAGAAACCAAUCCCCCAAGACUCAGCCAGAGCCCCGGCCCGGAGGCGGAGCACCCCCAGAACCACAAGACCGCCCCAGAUCCACCCCAGGGCAGCUAGGCUACCAGGCCAGUAACCCACGUCUGCCAGCACAGACCCUCCCCCAGCCCUGCUACACGCAGCCACCAGGAAAACAUCACCCGGGGGACACCAGAGUCCAAAGGCUAUCAGAUGAUGACGGUUCAUGCAGACACUAUAUAAUGAAUCCAAAGUACCCAUUUACCAGCUUCAGAGAAUUUCUCUUCCUGAAGACAUCUUCGUCUACUGGUGUUUCAGACGACUGACUGCCAGUUAACCCGCCACUCAUCAGUCAAGCAAAUGAUUCAGGGAAUCAUGAUGGUUCAGUGCACCUGUUUGCUGCUGCUGCUGCUCUCCACUGCUGUGUUCUCACAAAAUUAUAAGGACUUCAAAGUGAAACACACGCUUGUGGAGGCAAAGAAUAACAAAGAUUGUGCUACUUUGAUGAAAGCUGUCAAUGAACUGGAAAAUGUAAAAAAGAACACUCCAGGAAAGUGCAAGGAAAAGAAUACUUUCAUUGACGAAAGUAACGAGCAAAAAAUUCAGAAUAUGUGUACACCUGAUUCUGACAAGAAAUUUGUUAACUUACCAUAUAAUUGUUUUGACUGUGUGACAAAAGAUAAAAAGGAACCUUGUUCAUACACACAAAUAAAACCUAAUGAGAAAAAGAAGAUAAAAUGUGAAAAAGACAAAUCCGAGAAUAAGAUUCUACCUGUACACCUUGAGGCUGGUAGCGUUUAGGAGAAGACUCAGCAGUUGAUUCCAGUUUAAAACUGCUGUGUUGUCUUAACUACUUGUUUAAAAGAAUUUCUUAAAAUGUGUUGAUAAUCAUGUGACUGUCUUCUCACAAACAUGACGAGGUAUUGUAAGGAUUUGAGUUGAUCACAUGUAAGAACCCAGUAUAAACUUCUUUCAUCCAAUUUGAUGCUACAGAAAAUUUGUUGCAGAAAAGUUGUCUCUUUGUUUCUCACUCUCAUGAUUGACAAGUUCUUAUGUGAUGUUAAAAUCUAAAGAAAAAAAAUGCUCUGUCCA
This is a long non-coding RNA of Oreochromis aureus, 2203 nucleotides long. Lineage: Eukaryota; Metazoa; Chordata; Actinopteri; Cichliformes; Cichlidae. The record is from Ensembl.